Long non-coding RNA from Oreochromis niloticus (Nile tilapia), 2022 nucleotides. RefSeq lists it as uncharacterized. Lineage: Eukaryota; Metazoa; Chordata; Actinopteri; Cichliformes; Cichlidae. The record is from RefSeq and is a predicted model, not a curated record. The transcript is spliced from 4 exons.
CCUUUCUAUAUGUUACAUUUAGACUAAUGUUUAAAAGUUACUUCAUUUAGCAGGGUGUAGCUUUUUACUCUUCUUAUUCUUUUUUAUACUGGAACUUCAUUUUUUCUGUAUAAGGUGGUACUUUUAAGACACCUCUGCCUAACUACAGUGAACUAACCAGAAGUCUCGGAAUAUGCUCUGGUGGUCAUUUUACACAAGUUCAGGUGUCACAUCCAUGAAACCUACACCACUAACCAGCAUCAGUCCUACAACUUCACUCUCAAAUUUAAUAAAUUCUGGGACAAGCAGAAACUGUAUUUUUAGCGGUGCAUUUUGUGGCAGGCCAGACUGCUAUAAAAUGCACUCUCCUUGUAGCACCACUUCGUCUUGGUUCAGAAGAGAUGUCCUGGAUAUACGUGAUAAUGUAACACGGGUGUUUUUGUUUGUUCAUGUUUAGCGCGUUGGGUUGUGUUUUUAAAGCGAAUGUUACGUUUUUAAAGCGUGUUAUGCGACAGGUGUGUGUAGCACUGGUUACACAUCUCAAUGGGAGAGCAUUAGUCGAGACCACACCUUUACCUGACGUACAACGUGACGUAUGGCGCACACUUUCAAAACAACAAUGGCGGAUAGAAGAUAUUGAUCGAGGCGGCUAAUGCUCCUUUCGCUGGUUGCCAACAACCAUUAAAUAACAAGAAGAAGAAAAUAUUGAUCUGCUUUUCUUAGUUUUGCACGUUUAAGACGCAAUUCAGACUCAAACAAAGCUGCAAAGCAGGAGAACAACAUGGCCAUCAACUAUUCUGUGCCACAGAUCCAGUUCGCUGCAGCACAGAGUGAUGAUGAGACGGUGGAAGAACAACAGAGACAAUUUACGGACCGUUAACAUGUGCAACUUAGAAGUAGUCAGAGGUAACUGGAUGGAGUUCAGUCAGGUUAAAUGCACGGUUGAUUGGAUUAUAUCUGAAGAUCGUAUGCUAUUCGUGACAACUCUACUAGACUCCAAAUUUCUCGUCCAUGAGGGAGUAUCUCAAAAGUAAAUGAAACAACUAAACUUAACACUUUUUCCCUAAAACGGACUGACAUGGGAAACAUUAAAGUUGGACUGACACCAGCUAAUCAGUCUGAAGAACAAGAAGGGAGACCACUGAGGAGAAGUUCUAUGAGUUCACGGGUGACCUCAGCUGUCAAGUUCCUGGAUGUGGAUGGCAACAGACCAGAGAACCUGAAUGACACCAUUACUCUGGAGCCUUGCCCUGCUGCAUCAGCUGAAACAUCAAGCCAUCCACGUCCACCCCUCCUCCUCCACGUCCACCACUAUGUACAACCAUUACUCCAGCUCUUGGGUCUCACACUUACAGAUUCCUUGGGAAAGAUUUCCACUCCGAUUGUCGCAUGCAAUCACAGGAGGGGACAGACCUCAUCCAGAGGACAGGAGAAGUCAGCUAAUAGUGAUAGAUGAUGAAUGAAUUAUCCCUAAGUAACUCAUUAUUUCAAAUCACAACUCAAUGUUACUGUAUGUUACUAUUUAUUGUGGCAUGUUUUAAGGUUUUUUGUAAGGAUAAACCCUGAAGAGGGAACAAAAUGUACCUCCAAGGUUGGGACAAGCAGAAAGACUGGGACCACUGUGAAGCGAAAGAUGAUCCAUGGCCCAUGCUUUCUGGACAUUUACACAAGACGAACAACAAUGAAGACAAGCUCUCUCGCCAUCUUGCAAGGCGCUGUCUCUGUCCAAUAGGUUUUUUGAGUGCAACAGUUUUGAUUUUUUUUUUUCCUUCUUUUACCCGUUUGUUAAAAAUUAUUUCAGCUACUUACACUUUAGUUGUCACAUGUAUUGGCUCACCCUACAAAUCAAUUAACUCAGUCCACUAAGCAAGGUCGGGGUUCAGUGCAGGUCAGUCAAGUUCCUUCACACCACACACACUCAUCCAUGUCCUUGUGGACCCUGCUUUGUGCAUUGAUUUGGUGGUGUGAGCCAGUAUUUUGGAUAAAGUGUAUAUAAAGGCAGAAGUUUGGGGCUUGAUAUUCUAUUCAUUACAAUUCAGUUUA